RNAcentral lists this long non-coding RNA (221 nucleotides) under Elaeis guineensis (African oil palm). RNAcentral describes it as "long non-coding RNA (EGUI_LNC048990)". Lineage: Eukaryota; Viridiplantae; Streptophyta; Magnoliopsida; Arecales; Arecaceae. The record is from RNAcentral.
GGCUUCGUCCCCAACUCCGAUUGAAAGAAGACUUCAUCCGGACUCCUACGGGAGCCAGACUCCGAGCUCCUCUCAGACGGGUGGCCAGCCACCUCUCUCUACCAGACACUCCAGCCGAACUUCGGCCGACAGGCCUGGGCCCACUGGUGGGCCGCAGCAACGGCCACGAUACUACUCCACCUCCUACGACGGAUUCCGCACGGCUCCAUCACUCCCUGGCA